This is a long non-coding RNA of Uranotaenia lowii, 264 nucleotides long. RefSeq lists it as uncharacterized. The record is from RefSeq and is a predicted model, not a curated record. NCBI's taxonomy places the organism in Eukaryota, Metazoa, Arthropoda, Insecta, Diptera, Culicidae. The transcript is spliced from 2 exons.
AAAAUUGCGCGUAUAAACACUUUAAUCAUGAUGAAAUACUCGACUGUUUUGUUGGUAGUGCUGAUCCUGGUGCUUGAGAUGAUAGUUUCUGGAUUGGCGGCUCCCGCAAAUGCCAGUGGAGUUCAACUUUUCGGUUCUGGUAUUGCAUGGAAAAACUUCCAGAUGUUUGGCAACAGCAAAGGAUGAUAAAAUUAUCUGCCUUGGUUGAUACAUAAAUGGAAAUAAUAAAAUUUUAUAAUGUAUUUUUACCAUGCAUUCAUUAAA